This 440-nucleotide ribosomal RNA is filed under the name uncultured bacterium. Its description in RNAcentral is "partial 16S ribosomal RNA". It matches the Rfam family "Bacterial small subunit ribosomal RNA", at positions 338 to 795 of the family's 1533-position model. The record is from RNAcentral.
CCUACGGGAGGCAGCAGUGGGGAAUAUUGCACAAUGGGGGAAACCCUGAUGCAGCGACGCCGCGUGAGUGCAGAAGUAUUUCGGUACGUAAAGCUCUAUCAGCAGGGAAGAAAAUGACGGUACCUGACUAAGAAGCCCCGGCUAACUACGUGCCAGCAGCCGCGGUAAUACGUAGGGGGCAAGCGUUAUCCGGAUUUACUGGGUGUAAAGGGAGCGUAGACGGCAGCGCAAGUCUGGAGUGAAAUCCCAUGGCUUAACCAUGGAACUGCUUUGGAAACUGUGCAGCUAGAGUGCAGGAGAGGUAAGCGGAAUUCCUAGUGUAGCGGUGAAAUGCGUAGAUAUUAGGAGGAACACCAGUGGCGAAGGCGGCUUACUGGACUGUAACUGACGUUAAGGCUCGAAAGCGUGGGGAGCAAACAGGAUUAGAUACCCGAGUAGUC